GAAGCGGCGAAAAAUGCAUCUAAAGGUAACCUUUGUAGCUCCAAGGCACACGGCGCAAACCGGAACGGAUAGUGGUGAAUUUUCCGAAAAAGCCGAUGGGUAUCGACCCAUCGACUUUUUUUUUAUCGACUAAUCUUCUUAGGAGCUCAAUCAGCGCAAUAUUCCGGUUAGUGCUGGACACUGGAAAAAAUGGCACCAGAUGUUGGCUUCGACGAUUUUCACUGCGCCCUAGGAGGAUUGUUUUUGUGGAAUCAAUAGUGGUAAUAUUACCAGUUGAAUAACGUGUCAAUAGAUUUACCUGCCAUAAAUUCGAUACACCAGCAUUAUCAAAUACCGGAAAUAGCAUGGAAAACCUUCUUGAUUCACCCAAAGUAUCAAGAUUCAGCUGCUGCAAAUGGUCCUGUUUUACGGUAACACUAAAUUCGUUCUUCUUAUGGCAAUGAAGUCUUCCGAUAGCGCUGGGCUCAAUUAUGCUAGCCAAUAGAGGCUUCCAGUCGAUAUGUGCCAUUAUAAUACUGAAAAGCCGGAACAAGACGGACAAUUUGCUGAUAUACCAGCGGUAUACUUCAGGAUCCCUAACGCAAAGCCCAUCAUUUGAGCUAUCGGAAAAUCUGACUAUCUUCUUAAAAAA
Molecule: long non-coding RNA, 631 nt
Organism: Uranotaenia lowii
Lineage: Eukaryota; Metazoa; Arthropoda; Insecta; Diptera; Culicidae
Exons: 3
Source: RefSeq, a predicted model, not a curated record